AUGCUUACCAAGGAGCGGCUCUUGUCGGCUGUGGGAGGGGCAUCUGCUUCCCAUGGCUGAUGAGAAGAUUCAAUGCAGGCAGUAAUAAUGGCAAUUCUGGUUGUUUCUGUUUAUUGAAUGCUCACUAUCUGCCAGGCACUGCUCUCAACCAGUUAGUGUGUAUGACUUCAAUCAAUCGUCACAAAACCUGGAUUUGAUGUAGAAAGAGCUGCAGAAGGCAUCUCAUCCAUCAUUGGCAUACACAAGUGAUUUGUUCACAGAAUGCCCUGAAGACUAUAAAGCAUUGAACAGAAGCAGUCACCGUGAUUUUCAUGUUACUCUCUAGCCAUACACAUAGUUUGCAAAUUCAAUCUUAUGAAAAGGAGUUUAUUUAUUCUCUAAGAAAAUGGAAUUGUGAUGUGGAUGAGGUGUCACCUGAUGGUGGUUCUGCUACAUGGUCCAGACUAUAAGGCAGAAUUACAUAAGGAUAUUUUAGGCACCUGAGACACAGUGACCAACAGAUGACGGCUACUAUGAUGGUGACAACGACAACAU
RNAcentral lists this long non-coding RNA (534 nucleotides) under Pan troglodytes (chimpanzee). RNAcentral describes it as "lincRNA". Lineage: Eukaryota; Metazoa; Chordata; Mammalia; Primates; Hominidae. The record is from RNAcentral.